UACGUAGGGUGCAAGCGUUGUCCGGAAUUAUUGGGCGUAAAGAGCUCGUAGGCGGUUCGUCGCGUCGGCUGUGAAAUCCCGAGGCUCAACCUCGGGUCUGCAGUCGAUACGGGCGGACUGGAGUUCGGCAGGGGAGACUGGAAUUCCUGGUGUAGCGGUGGAAUGCGCAGAUAUCAGGAGGAACACCAAUGGCGAAGGCAGAUCUCUGGGCCGUAACUGACGCUGAGGAGCGAAAGCGUGGGGAGCAAACAGGA
RNAcentral lists this ribosomal RNA (254 nucleotides) under uncultured bacterium. Its description in RNAcentral is "partial 16S ribosomal RNA". It matches the Rfam family "Bacterial small subunit ribosomal RNA", at positions 524 to 777 of the family's 1533-position model. The record is from RNAcentral.